UUUUUUUCAAAAUAAGGAAAUGGUUUUAAGAUAUUUUAAUUUUUUAUGAAUUAUCCAAGUUCAUUGUUGCACAAUUCAAGUAUAAAUCCAUCCAUCGUUCGUGAACGAGGUACAGAUUUAAAAAAUAAUCUGUGAUUCCAAAUAUCAGUUUUUUUCUGCGUGCAAUGCAGUAACAGGUGAAAGGUAUUAUUAGUUAAAGAUCGGGGAGGGAUGCAUGCACACACGUGCGCCAUUUUUUAACCCCUACAAAGGGGAGUGCAGAGGAUGAGUUACACAUAAGCGUGAUGUCAAUCAAUCUUUUAUUUGUUAUAGGGCCCUUUGCAACAGUUAGCCACAGAGCGCUUUAUAGAAUUAUACCGCAGGUGACAAUAUUAUAACAGGUGACCAACUAGCAGGAGAGGAAAACUCCCAGUGACAGAAACCUCUGGGGAUCCCAAGUCUGAUGAUUGCCCCCAAACAAGCAAUGAGUUAGUGAUGCAUUAAUUUUAAUAGAUCACGAGUGAACAGUCUGCAAAACUAAGGACUGAGACACCUGUCCUGGGCCUGUCGUCUGUCUUAUCUGAUGGAAGUAGCUGACUUUUCCGAGGUCUGCCAUCUUGAGUGCAUCGAUUCAUGCUCUGUUGUCACAGGCAGAUAGGAUAUGCAUGCUCAACGUUGAAUCCCAGCACCGAGAUCCAUCCAGGCAGUGGGAAAAUAAAAACAUGGGAAAGGUUGUUACAGUAAGUGGCUGGAAGACCCCAGCUGAAGGUGAUUAACAUGAUGUAACACCCUCUGAUCUUCAGCAGCCCUAGACCAAGGAAAACAGGAUUUAGAGAAAUAAGAAGGGAGUUGGAUUUGAGGCCGGAGGCUGUCGGGGUAUCUCUUAUGUGUUUUGGGAGGUCGUUCCAUGAUUUAGGGGCCCCGUAGCUGCCACUUAGUGGUUAUUUUGGAGAUUUGGAGUUACCAGGGGAGACCGGCGGAAAUCUGUCUUUUCUCACGGUGCUUAAGGGUGUUUCCUCUCUUUCUCGUGCUCCAACCCAAACAGGCCGGAAGGCGGCGGCGGAGCUGGAACAGGAAAUCCAGAGGCUGGAGCUGGCCAGCAGGACCCGGGCGCAGCUGAAGGCGGGCUCGGAGAUGAACCUGCUGGGCGUGGGCAAGGCCGCCAAGCGCACGCCCUUCCGGCAGUCACUGGCGCUUGGAGGAGACUCCCCGGCGUCGCAGGGCGGCUUCUUCACCCCUCUGCUGAGACGCACCGCCUCUGCAAAAAACACCCUGAGGCGCGUGCCCUCCGCCUUCUUCCUGGAGAAGGGCAAGGCUCUCCACAAGCGGAAGGAAUGGGAGACAAAGGCGUCCGUUUAAAACUGGGUCUGCUGGCUCACCUCUACCUUACACACGUUGGCCUUAAUUGUAUGAGUAUAUAUUGCACUGAAUAUAGUAUUACUGUGCAUGUGGACCAUGCACUUAUUUCUGGGGCUCUUUUGUACUUUUUAUAUUAAUUAAAACCACUUAACUUUAUAUUUGGGGUUUCCCUAACUCUGGAAUGAAAAGGGCAAUAGCUGUCCUUUAUGAUGGCUGGCACUGUUCCUUGCUGUGUAAUGUACAUCAGCUCAAACUGAAAAUCUGUACUUCAGGAUCUGACAUCAUUAAAAAUGGCUAACACCCUUCUGGAGCUCCGCUGGUUUCUUCACUCCGCAGUUCACUGGACACGCCGCGCUCCGACGACGGAGUCACGCGUCCGCAGCCCGUGGCUCUGUGCGCAGCCUGGCAGUGGGGGGUCAGCUGGAGGGUCGUGGGUUCGAAUCCCGGGGGGGGC
Lepisosteus oculatus (spotted gar) is the source of this 1792-nucleotide long non-coding RNA. The record is from Ensembl. NCBI's taxonomy places the organism in Eukaryota, Metazoa, Chordata, Actinopteri, Semionotiformes, Lepisosteidae.